GACGAACGCUGGCGGCGUGCUUAACACAUGCAAGUCGAACGGAAAGGCCCUGCUUUUGUGGGGUGCUCGAGUGGCGAACGGGUGAGUAACACGUGAGUAACCUGCCCUUGACUUUGGGAUAACUUCAGGAAACUGGGGCUAAUACCGGAUAGGAGCUCCUGCUGCUUGGUGGGGGUUGGAAAGUUUCGGCGGUUGGGGAUGGACUCGCGGCUUAUCAGCUUGUUGGUGGGGUAGUGGCUUACCAAGGUUUUGACGGGUAGCCGGCCUGAGAGGGUGACCGGCCACAUUGGGACUGAGAUACGGCCCAGACUCCUACGGGAGGCAGCAGUGGGGAAUAUUGCACAAUGGGCGGAAGCCUGAUGCAGCAACGCCGCGUGCGGGAUGACGGCCUUCGGGUUGUAAACCGCUUUCGCCUGUGACGAAGCGUGAGUGACGGUAAUGGGUAAAGAAGCACCGGCUAACUACGUG
RNAcentral lists this ribosomal RNA (468 nucleotides) under uncultured bacterium. RNAcentral describes it as "partial 16S ribosomal RNA". It matches the Rfam family "Bacterial small subunit ribosomal RNA", at positions 28 to 507 of the family's 1533-position model. The record is from RNAcentral.